Molecule: ribosomal RNA, 916 nt
Filed under: uncultured archaeon
Lineage: Archaea
Description: bacterial SSU rRNA
Rfam family: Archaeal small subunit ribosomal RNA
Source: RNAcentral
UAGAUUACUGCUCAGUAACACGUCGAUAAUCUGCCCUAAGGCCCGGGGUAACCUCGCGAAAGUGAGGAUAACACCGGAUAGGGAAAAGGUGCUGGAAAGCCCUUUUCUUUAAACGCAAGGUCUUAGGUCGAGUCGGCGUCCGAUUAGGUAGUUGGUGGUGUAAUGGACCACCAAGCCAAAGAUCGGUAGGGGCAUUGAGAGAUGUAGCCCCGAGAAGGGCACUGAGACACUGGCCCUAGCCCUACGGGGUGCAGCAGGCGCGAAACCUUUACACUACGCGCAAGCGUGAUAAGGGGAUCCAGAGUGCUCAUGCACUGCAUGGGCUUUUGCCGACGGUAAAUACGUCGGCGAAUAAGUGGUGGACAAGACUGGUGCCAGCCGCCGCGGUAACCCCAGCACCACGAGUGGGGCUCGUAUUUAUUUGGCCUAAAGCGCUCGUAGCCGGUCAUGUAAAUCUCUUGUGAAAUCGUUGCGCUUAACGUAACGGCGUGCAGGAGAAACUGCAUGACUAGGGACCGGGAGGCGUAGAGGGUAUUCCAUGGGGAGCAGUAAAAUGCUAUAAUCCAUGGAGGACCACCUGUGGYGAAGGCGCUCUACGAGAACAGGUUCGACGGUGAGGGGCGAAAGCUAAGGGAGCGAUCCGGAUUAGAUACCCGAGUAGUCCUAGCCGUAAACGCCGCGGGCAAGGUGUUGCACAUUCUUCGAGAAUGUGCAGUGUCCGAAGUGAAGGYGUUAAGCCCGCCGCCUGGGGAGUACGGUCGCAAGACUGAAACUUAAAGGAAUUGGCGGGGGAGUACUACAAGGGGUGCGGCGUGCGGUUUAAUCGAAUUCAACGCCGAGAACCUCACCAGGGGCGACGGCAGAAUGAAGGUCAGUCUAAAGGGCUUACCUAACGAGCCGAGAGGUGGUGCAUGGC